ACUAAAUUUUAUUUCGUGUUGG
RNAcentral lists this non-coding RNA (22 nucleotides) under Arabidopsis thaliana (thale cress). Lineage: Eukaryota; Viridiplantae; Streptophyta; Magnoliopsida; Brassicales; Brassicaceae. The record is from RNAcentral.